Long non-coding RNA from Cryptotermes secundus, 385 nucleotides. RefSeq lists it as uncharacterized. The record is from RefSeq and is a predicted model, not a curated record. Lineage: Eukaryota; Metazoa; Arthropoda; Insecta; Blattodea; Kalotermitidae. The transcript is spliced from 3 exons.
CCGCAAAACUUGGAAUAUCCUUCCUGUCAAGGGGGGAUAUUACACUUGUUUUCUCUCCUUGAAACACAAAAACAAAACAUGUACCCUCUUACAUCAAUGUUACAUACAUAAUUUGAGCAUAAGUUCUUGAUUGUCCAUUCCUUUCUUUUUCAGUCUUUCACUCCGUCCGUUUUAUCACUGGAACACCUUAGUCUGAAAGCGUUCUGCGUUCACUGCUUCGCUGGGCUCCGGGUGCUCGAAAGGGCAGUUUCUUCGUGAACCAACUUACUUCGCAAGUGUGGGUCCGGAGGUGAGGUUCCACGUGGUUCCCUCAGUCCACCCAGGUCCCCUAGUGUAGCUAGGGGAGUGGAAUGCAAGAGGCUGUGAAAGUGGCUAGGGCAGUGGA